This is a long non-coding RNA of Bombus terrestris (buff-tailed bumblebee), 2922 nucleotides long. RefSeq lists it as uncharacterized. NCBI's taxonomy places the organism in Eukaryota, Metazoa, Arthropoda, Insecta, Hymenoptera, Apidae. The transcript has 2 exons. The record is from RefSeq and is a predicted model, not a curated record.
AAUCUCUAAUUUCUUAAUUGUUUAAGUAUUUGAGACAUACGAGAUACUGAAUAGUUCGCCAUAUUUUGUCACAAACUGGUUUAUGAUAUUACGAUAAAAUAAUUUUUGUGAUUGGCCUCUCACAUACGUAUACCUCAUUAAAACUCUCCUCAAUUUCAGCCAACACUAACACUAAUAGUGCCAAUAAUGCCUAACUCCAAUAUCUCUGUAAUUAUAAUUACGUCGAAAGUUUGGUUUGUUGGUCAAACAAGAAUCUUUUAAAUCAAAUUUAAAAUACGGUAAAUAAUAUUCCUAUGUUUUUAUCCUAUCUCUCUUUACCUAACUCUAAGAUCUUUCAAUAAUGAUGCGCUGAUUAUUAUUCGAAUAACGUGUACGUCAUGGUAUAUUCACGAACCAUUGAAUGGUCGAACAUAUCAUAGAAAUCGUAGGAAUAUACGGUAAAUCAUAAGAUAAUCGAUAACACGUCUAAUAAUUAAACGAUGAAAACGUAUUUCUCGGUUUUAGUCGAGUGUACGAAUGAUUCACAUUGUUCGUUCCGUAGGUGCACAUGUUGUUCGUCGUUAUCUGUGAUUGCGCCGUAUGCAUUCUUAGAAUAUUAACAACGUCACAAUAUUAAAUUAUUAAAUAGCAUUUCAGCACUUCUAAUAGUAUAUCGUGCAUCGCGAUUAUUCAAGUCUAAUAGAAGGUUCUAAAGUCGUUUAAACCAAUAUACGACUAAUGUGAACUAAAACGUAUCGACAAUUUUAUGUUUGAAGUGCAUUUUUAAUUUAAAAUACACGUAUUUUUUUCAUGGAAUUCCCUGGAAAUUGACGCUUUACAAUAGAGUCGUAUAGUUAACAAGAAAAACAAUCAACAACAAGCUGUACAUUGUAACAAUAUCUAUUUUAAAUCGCUUAUUAAAUAUUGAUAAAUUUUACCUUUGGCAUUUUCAUAUUGCAACAUCAUUACCGUCAGCACUAAAGUAACUAAUUUUAACGUGAUUGUUCGUCGAUAUGGUAACUGCACUCACAGAAACCAAACUCUUACUGAAGAUUUUUGCUUGUCUGUACUUAUGCAGUUUUGAACUACUUUAAGCUGAAUAACGUAAAAUCAUUAACCAUCUGAGCCAACGAGGAUUUCCAGCAGAUCUUAUCGACAACACAGUAGGCCAUUUUCCAGCAGUAAAUUAUAUUAACUUAAGCCACCGUGGCGUCGUGAAAGUUUUCAGAUAGUAUAACGAUAAGCCUCGACGGAAAGAAUGCGGUCCCAUUUUCCGCUUUUAUCUUGCUUCAUCCAAUUAACAUAUUUAUAAAGACUAUAUGUAUUUCAAAAUACGGUAGAGUAUGAUACAACGAACGAUUCAGCGAAUAUCCUUACGAAUAAAAUCAGAAUGAUACAAUAGGCAAAGAUGUUACAGCGAACAGUAAAAUCACGAGUCAAGCAUAGCGAAAAAAUUAAUUAAUUCAGGCAAGAAUGCAACGUAUAAAAACAAAACAAAGUAUUUUAUAUGCCUCAUUUUUCACUCAAGUUUUCGUGCUUAAAUCAAGUUUCAUGCUUACUUCAGUCCUUGGAACAAAUUAUCCAAUUAUCACCAAAUGCAUUUAGCUACAUAUUUCGAUACGUUAGAGAGAACUAAUGCUAAUAAUCAAUAUGGAUCUAAAACGAAUAUAUCACUUAAUCUAAUCUGGAGUCCCUAUUGUAAUUAAAAAUUAUAAGCAUAUUUAUGAUACUGUUGAACUGUGUAACGUCGUGGUCGCCGUGGUGCAAAAUGCAAAAAAUUAUACCUUACAAGAUCUAAAAUUAAAAAGUCAAUUAUACAUUACGAAGGAGAUAUAUUUUACCGAACAUUUUAAAUCUCUUUUAUUAUAAAAAAGGAAUUGAAAAUAAGAAUAAGUAUAUAAUAUUUGUGCACAUUCUGGUAUAAAACAUCACAGCUUGGAUUCAUAGAUGUACUUAGAUAUCAAUGACUAAAAUAAUAUUUGUAUGGGUCAUGGUCAUGGGCAUUGCCAAUUCGAUGUGAAAGUAAUAUUUCGCUAGGAAGAAGUUCCAUCUUAAACGGAGAGUCUGCAAACGCAAAUAAAACAUACUAAAUGUGUCAACAGCGAUACAACGAAAAUUCCCAAUGACUUUUAGCGAUUUUAUAAAGAUCAUAAAAUUACGGAGUAUUUGAGAUUGUAACAGUGGAACGAUACGAAUGAUCAGAUUCAAGGCGAUACAUUCAAUCAGAGACAAAAGAACCACCGCGAAUGCGUUAUCGGUCGCAACGGAUCGUAAUCAUUGUUGUAUAAGCGGCGUGAAACAAUAAGCAAAUACACGGACGUUACGCGUGAUUCAUCAAGCAGGGACCAGAAGCAGGUUAUACGUGUCUCGACUGUCUUGACAUUGAACUCCAGAGGCAGAUGAGUACCUUGCCGUCGAGCACAAUAGACGCCUCUGUAAAAGGGAACGAGCCUGCUGUCCAAAGCGCCUCUAGAUUAAUGCGCAGAAGGUAAUCAACUUUCGCGAUUGGGUAUUCCCCGGCGGCGUCACUCUGUACUAUCGUACAGAGCCAAGAAAUUUAUCUAGCAAUAAAAUGUUAAAGAAUUUACGUAAACAGCCUAUAUCCCAUUUGAUAUCACUGUGUAAUAAACAAUGUGAAUUUUAUGGAAAAUUUAAUAAAUGUAAGUCUAAUGAAUGUGAAACGCUCAAUUACAUAGAUGGCGAUACCUCGUACAUACGUAAAUUCUGUCUAGGACAUAACCUUGUGUAGCAUUCGAAUGUAAUUGGAAUAUUUGAUAUGUAGAUCCAUUAGCAUAGUCCUACAUUAAUCUUAUUUUGAAUGAUACAUCUUAUACAUAUAUACGUACAAGUUUUUAAAUAAAUAUAAGGAAGAUAUUACUUAUUUCUUAUUAAAGAAUUAAAUAUGUAUAAGUAAUCAAUGAAUAAAACGUAAUUAUACAGCUA